UGUAAUUUAUAUUUAUAUUUCAUAGUUGGAUCGUUUUUUCUUCAUCCGUCAUGAAUUUUGUUUUCUAGGGCGUUGUUGGAAUGUCUUAAUCUACCAAAUACGAAGGUCUUAUAGGUUUAUAGGAUUUUGUAGAUUUUUCACUUUUUUUUUUACCUCAAAAUUGCUAGAUAUAUUUAACAAAAAAUCCCUUUUAGUUUUGGUUUCAAUGGAUAGUACAAUGUGCCUGUGACUAAUAUUUUUUCUUAUUUUCGCUGUUGUACCUUUUGGUUUGAAUAAUACUUUCACCAAAUAAUUUGAAGAAUGUUUAAGCUCAAAGAUGAAAACGAACAUCUAAACGGACAUUCAUAUAUUAAGAAAUCUAUUUAUAUUUCAUAGUUGGAUCGUUUUUUUCUUCAUCUGUCAUGAAUUUUUUUUUUUGGGUGUUGUUGGAAUGUCUUAAUCUACCAAAUACGAAGGUCUUAUAGGUUUAUAGGAUUUUGUAGAUUUUUCACUUUUUUUACCUCAAAAUUGCUAGAUAUAUUUAACAAAAAAUCCCUUUUAGUUUUGGUUUCAAUGGAUAGUACAAUGUGUCUAUGACUAAUAUUUUUUCUUAUUUUCGCUAUUUUACCUUUUGGUUUGAAUAAUACUUUCACCAAAUAAUUUGAAGAAUGUCUAAGCUCAAAGAUGAAAAUGAACAUCUAAACGGACAUUCAUAUAUUAAGAAAUCUAUUGCUACUUAAGUGGGUUGUGUUUCUGUGUCCGUCGACACAGUGACCAGUUGUUAGUUUUGGAUUAUACACAGUGACCCGCUAUUAGUUUGCACGCGCUAUCAAGCAAAAGUUCUUACUCAUACGAUCAUUAUUCUCCAAUCGGAACAUACAUCCUGGGAAAUUGACGAUCUGUUUUGCAGAACUUAAUGGAUAAGCAUCUCUGGCACUUGCUAUAUUUUCUUCAUGCUAUUGACUUUUUGCGCUAAUCGAAAGAUAUUGUUUGCAGGGACAUGCCCAUGGAGUUGUUUGUCAAAUUUAAUGUCAGGUCAAAUAAAAUCAUUAGCGAUAAUUUGUAAAUUUGUCUGUCAAAAAAUGUUGGAGAUUGGAAAAUGUCAUUCCUUACAGAAUUUAUAUUGUGCACUGUUAGGAUUGUCAAUACACUGAGAAUUUUAUUAUCCAUAGUCUGGUGUCUGUGUUUGAUAGAUAUUGACUGCCUACAACAUCCAUGGUUUUUGUGUCUAUGAUCACUUUUGAUCCCUUACACCUGUUUAAUUGUAAUUAUUUUCUAUUACACCUGUUUGAAAUUGUGAUAUCAUUGCUAAUCAUCUUUUUUUUUGCACUAAAAUAUGGAUUUGAUUUAUAAUUUUUCAUUUAACGAGCAUAAUUGGUGAUACUAGAAGCUUAGGCAUGGGUAGUGACUACUUAUAUAAGAUGUCAGAUAUGUUCCCUUGAGUUGGUUUUGACUCUGCUGCUUGAAGUUCCAAAUUAUUCUUUGAUUGUGUUAAUGAGCAUUUAAAUAUAGAAAAGAAUAUAUUGGCAGCAAUAUUAAUAUUCCGACCGGAUACUUACUAAUGGGAUGGACCAAGGUUGGCAUUGUUUGGUGUGAUAUUGGAAUAUGUCCAAGGUCUGGAUGAUGCUUAAGCAAUCAACCGAAUUCAUGAAAUUGACGAAGGGAAUCCAUGCCAGAUCCAUGUUGGAUCACCCGUAAGUGGUAUGAAAUUGACUGGAAGUGUACUAUGGUUAUCAGUUUAGAUGCGUUGUUAGUCGCGAAAAUGUAAGAAACUUGUACUGUGUACCUUUUUGUAACCCUUUCAUUUGUUGUCUCUUUUUAAAGCUAAUGCUAAAUCGAAUACAGAAGAUGAAUUGCAUGGGGUCAAGUAAUGGGUACUCAACAAGUGAGGGUCGUCUAUAAAACACUUAAAAAGAAGGAUGAUUCUAAACAGACCGAGAAACUAGACUACACCAAAACAAUAUCUCACUUUAUGUCUCACAAUUUUUUUUGUAUGGUCUCGGUGGGCCCCGCGGAGGACAGUAAGGGGUCCCAUUUUUUGGGUUUGUUGCGUCUAAGGUUUCCGUGUGGUUUCAUUCACACGGUUCACUAAGAAUUUUUGUAAAAAGAAAUGCAGAUGGAAAUCUACAUCAAGGUGUUACUUUCUUGAUCAUUAAUACGAAACUCUGGUCAAAGUAAAGAGUUUUAUUGAAA
This is a long non-coding RNA of Papaver somniferum (opium poppy), 2172 nucleotides long. RefSeq lists it as uncharacterized. The record is from RefSeq and is a predicted model, not a curated record. NCBI's taxonomy places the organism in Eukaryota, Viridiplantae, Streptophyta, Magnoliopsida, Ranunculales, Papaveraceae. The transcript is spliced from 2 exons.